This 74-nucleotide transfer RNA is filed under the name Corynebacterium massiliense DSM 45435. RNAcentral describes it as "tRNA-Met". The record is from RNAcentral. Lineage: Bacteria; Bacillati; Actinomycetota; Actinomycetes; Mycobacteriales; Corynebacteriaceae.
GUAGUCGGCGCGACGGGGACGUGGUCGACGCCGUUCAUCCCGGCGUACCCGGGGUCGUUUCCCGGCCGGCAGUG